CACACACACACACACACACACACACACACACACACACACACUCACUCUCCGUGUUGUCAAGUGUUUAAAAUCAUUUGAGACGACAAGGCAUAAAAACUGAAGUAUAAUAUUUGAAUGGCAAUACACGACCCUAUUGUAGGAUAUAUACCAAGGCUGCUUAAGAUAUAUGAUUAAUAGUUAUCCUUACAAACUUAGCCUAUCACAUUGUUAGUCUCUGUUGUGAAUAAUUUAGGGGUUUUGGUUUUGUCUUUCACAUAGGGAUAACUUUACUCUCUGGAUUGUGUAGAUAAAGAAAUCGCCUAAUUCCAAAAUUACUAGAUGAACCUAAUACCUUGACCAAGAAUAAGUUAGCAAUACAAAUGACUACAUAAGAUAAAUUCAGUAACAUAUUUGGAAUUUGACUCAUUUAUAUAUUAGAGGGACUCUCAUAACUCAUCACCAAAUUUCUAUUCAAUGUGUUUUGAGUAUAAAUGUAAAAAGAAAAUUUCCUGACUAAAGACAUGCAGAAAAUUAUUCCAAAUAGUGAUGUUUUGAUAAAAAUAAGGAGUGAAUAUAUUUGGGAACAUAGAAUGAAACACUGACAAUCAUAUAGAAUGGGAAAUGUGCAAAGCAGUAAUGCUAAAUGGACUGGGGUGGUAACUGGCAACAAACUCAGAUGAGCAUGUAAGGUGAGGGGUGCAGAAAAAAAGGCAAAAAGACUUUAGGUAGAAGACUAAGCAAAGAAGUCACAUGAUAGGCUGGGAAGAACACAGGCCAGUCUGUUUAUGUCUCCUUGGUGAAAACACUUCUGGACCAGUACACCUGAUCUCAGGAUUUCAAUGCAAUGAAGACGUUGAAAAACAAAGGAAGUCAAGCAUGAAAGCAGAAGUCAUCAUAAGGACCUGCCAGAUUGAUUUAUGAGGCCUGAAUGGCACAAUCACCACCUAAAUAUAUGCAUAUAUGUGAGUGUCUCUUGCAGAAACCCAGUGAUUAUCAAAAUAACUAGAGUUUUCUUUGUAUUUGUGUUGUGAGAAAUAAGCAUUUAUUACUUAAUAGGCUUAAGUAAGAUCCUGUGCCUUGAAAAGAAGAUUAUUUUGUCAUCAGGCAGGUCCUUUCAAAAAAAACAAAAAUACGUGCAAUUCUCACGCAGUUUUCAAAUUCAAGUUCAUUUGUAAUAAACUGAGGAGACUGUAGUUCUAAAAACAAAUGGUUAAUAGUGGCAAUAUAGUGGUAAUAGAAAUGAAAUAUAACCUUAACUGAUAAAUAACUAUAGUUUUUGCUGGGCUUAUUCUUGGCGAAUAGCCCAAGUUCAGGGCUUGAAAUUUUUAAUAAAUGUACUAAUAUCUUAAAUGGAGAGUUGACUAAUAACCUCAGGAGAAGAAAGGUAAUGGAAUGGAAAAGAGAAUUUUUUAAAAAAAAUAGCUAAAGGGUGAGAUGUGCCCAUCCAGUGACAUCGUUUCUUAGAAAAGGUAAGAUAUUGAACUAAUUUAUCAUUGGGAAAGUGCUUAAAUUACCUUUUUUACUUCAAAAAAAACCCUGCUUAUUAUAAGCCACCAAUUACUGAAAUUGUUAUAUAAACAUAUAAAGGAAAUAUGAAUAUUUUAAAUAUAGGAUAAAAAUAGUCCUUGCUAGAGAUACUACUGACUCAAAAGGCUAUGUCUAUACAAAUAUUAUAUAAGAAAUAGCUUUAAACACCUUAAUGUCAUCAACUGACAUCUUGGCGUUUUUCUUUUUUUUGUAGAGACAGAGUUUCGCUCUGUUGGCCAGGCUGGUCUUGAACUCCUGGUAUCAUGUAAUCUAGCCACCUCAGUGCCAGGAUUACAGGCAUGAGCCACUAUGCCCAGCUGGCAUUUUAUAGUGAACCUCAAAAAAAGUCAACAGCAAACUUGAAGAAUAUUGGAAUAUAGAUGUCUCAAAAAUGAUUGCCUUUUAUUUAUAAAUGUGUUUUAGAAUUAUUUUCUAAACGUGAAUUAUUUUCUAUUUGAAAAUAAUUACCUAUAAAUUGUAUAAAGAAAAGUAAUAGGCAAACACACAACUUAUAAAACUAUUUUAAUGAUUGUGGUUCCACAUAUAUUUAUGCUUGAGUUUAUGGGAAGUGUUUUGAAAUUCAUACAGAACAUGGAAAAAAAUGUUAUAGGACACAAGAUUCAAAUUGAGGUCAUCCAAGUUAUAAA
Molecule: long non-coding RNA, 2153 nt
Organism: Sapajus apella (tufted capuchin)
Lineage: Eukaryota; Metazoa; Chordata; Mammalia; Primates; Cebidae
Exons: 2
Source: RefSeq, a predicted model, not a curated record